UAAGUACUCCCUCCGUCUAACAAAGGAUGUCUCAACUUUGACUAAAUUUGAAUGAAUCAAUACAAUAAGUCAUGUCUAGGUACAUCCAAAUUUUGACAAACUUGAGACAUCUUUUGUUGAGCGGAGGGAGUAUACG
Molecule: non-coding RNA, 136 nt
Organism: Brachypodium distachyon (stiff brome)
Lineage: Eukaryota; Viridiplantae; Streptophyta; Magnoliopsida; Poales; Poaceae
Source: Rfam